Herpailurus yagouaroundi (jaguarundi) is the source of this 2582-nucleotide long non-coding RNA. RefSeq lists it as uncharacterized. The record is from RefSeq and is a predicted model, not a curated record. Lineage: Eukaryota; Metazoa; Chordata; Mammalia; Carnivora; Felidae. The transcript is spliced from 2 exons.
UGGCUCUUGAUCUCGGGGCUGUAAGUUGGUGCCCCACGUAGGGUGCAGAGAUUACUGAAAAACUAAAAAAUCUUCAAAAAAAUAACAAGACAAAGAAAGGACAGGUUUGCCCCAGUGACAACUGAGAAUAAGGCCGUGGACAUUCUUGGCAUGAUGCUGAGAGAGAAUGAACCCUUCUUCCAGGACUUUUUACAAUGCCCCCCUAAACCUUGGCAUGUCCAGACAGGAGUGUGGGGAACAGUGCCAGGGGAGGUGGGACCUGUCCCUGGGUCACCAAGACCACGUGGACCUCAGCUUUAAGACAUUGGUCUCAGGAAACCUUUUCUCUGUCCUCUGAUGACAAACUGCACAGAAGGCUGAAGAUUCAGGAGGACCAAGUUCUUCCUCACAGCGCCCUCAGCAGGUCAUCAGAUCAAUACCUAGGAUUACAGACCGACGAGGGAGGAAGGGGAGAGCAAGGGCCUACAGCAAAUGGAGCAUGGGAAGGACCGGAAGUUUCUCUCCAGGAAGUCUGUCCACUUGGUAAGAAGAUUUGUUGAGGGCAGGUCAUUACACCACGGGUAUCUCUCCUACCAGCACUUAUGGGAGCCAAUCCUGCCUGCAGCCCCCCAUCCAAGAGAAGUGCCACGGCACAAAGGCUCCCUACUGGGGGACUCCUCAACCGUAGCUAACAUUCUUCUCUAGCAGGGCUCCUUGUCAACACCUCUCACAACAAGACGUGUGCUUUCUGCAUGACUAACAACAGACCACAGCCUUCCUCAGUCCACACCCUCUCUUCCGUUUGACUCAGACUGAGUCUGUUGACAGGCCAUGGAGAAAGCAUACCCCAUACCUGUUAAAGAACCUGCUGGAGUGGUUUGAGGUGGGCACAUGGCAAAGCUUGAGCAUUUCUGAUGAUCUGAAACACGGUGUAGGGAAGAGGUUCCAGCUGGGCCACUAGCUUGCUGUGUGUUCUUGGGCAAAUCAAUGUACCUCUCUGGGUCCUAGUUUCCCUGUGUGUGGGGAGAGGAAGGGAUGGACAAGAAGAUCCUAUCUAGCUCCAUCUCAGGAUAGAUAGCAGGAUAACUCUGGGAUGGAUUCCAGCUCUGUGAAACUCACUCUGGUUUAGGACUACACUCUGGCUUGAAUUUACGACCAAGACAGCCAUCUGAAUGCCAAUCUGAUAUUUCUUUCAUGGAGGAAUGAGUAUUCCUGAGCCAAUUCGAACCAGGGAAUAAAAAGAAGGAAAAAAAAUUCUCUCCCCGAAGUCACCUAAAUAUAAUUGUGUUUAUACAAACAUAGAUCUUACACAACUCCUAAUACUAAAUUCUACGUGUCUGUUAGCUUAAGCCAAGGGGCCUGGUCAUUACAAGUCUAAAAAAUGAUUGCAGAAAGCCCAGAAGCUUCUAAGGAAUUAAUAGGAAAGGGACACCAGCUCCCAGAGAAUUCUCUAGAGCUUAGUGGCUUGAGAAAAUCAAGGGCUUCCCAAUAUGAAAUUCAGAUCUUUAAAAAAAAAAACAAAAAUGCCAGGAUUAGAAUGGCAGCAGGACGCGCUCCCAGCCUCUCCAAGCGCCAGUUCCAAGGCCUGGCCCUUUUAGGCCCAGCCCCCACCAAUGCCGGCGCUGACGUCAGCUCACUAUUUCCAUUGCCGGCAGCCCUGAGAGCUCAGACUUGCUAGAUCAAUGAAAACAUCAACCUUGCCAGACGUGUCUGCCCCACUCCAAACCCACCGUGGAGCCAGGGGUUCAGGCACGCAGCCGGACCAUCUGUCAUUAGGCGCUGCUGUUAAUUGCUGUGCUAAUGAACAAGGUUUGAAUUGGAAGCACGAAAUGCACAUGCAGAUUUAGACACCGUUCUGCAGUUCUGGGUCCUGUCCCCUAACAGCCUGGUGGAGUCUCCAGGAUGCAACGGCAGAAGUGGUCGAGUCACAUCAUGGGCACAGACAGUGCAUAAGCCAGUCAGCAGAUACUCCAAACAGCAAGUGUUGAGAGUUUUUCAGCCAGGCACUCAUCCAUCCAUUCAUCCCUCUAUCCUCUCAACAACCACUGGCUUUAUGGUGAACGCUGUGUCAAAUGCCAGGGCUCCAAAAAUGACCGUGACGUAGUCCCUGCCCCCAGGGGAUCGCAGCCUAGCAGUCAAGAUAGACAACUGGACAAAUACAGCAAAUACAUGGUGACAAGUGCUAGGAGAGGUCAGCAGAGGGGCCGAGGGAACAUAGAAGAGGGGUAUCUAACCAGACUGGAGUAUCAGGGAAGACUUCCUGGAGGAGGAGAGACUGCCUGAACCAAAUCUUAAAGGAGGAGCAGAAGUUACCCAGGGAAAGAAUGGAGGUGCAUGGCACGUAAAAGGGCUAGAGGCAGCCAUAUCAUCCCUAAAGCCAGGGGCCACCUGAGCAGGAGGACAGCCCAGCUCCAGGUGCCCUGCCAGAAACCUUCUGCCUUCUCUGGGCCAGCAAAGAAAGGACCUCGGGGCCCUCAGGCCCAAAGAGAGCUGAACAAAGUCCCCACCAGAGAGAAAGAACUAUUCCCUCAAAACGUUCCCGUCCGGCUCAGUUCAUCAAAUCUGCUUUAUGUAGCGCAAAAUAAACACAACCCUAAUUAGCA